Molecule: ribosomal RNA, 482 nt
Filed under: uncultured bacterium
Lineage: Bacteria
Description: partial 16S ribosomal RNA
Rfam family: Bacterial small subunit ribosomal RNA
Source: RNAcentral
AUUGAACGCUGGCGGCAUGCUUUACACAUGCAAGUCGAGCGGUAACAGGCCGCAAGGUGCUGACGAGUGGCGAACGGGUGAGUAAUGCAUCGGAACGUGCCCAGUCGUGGGGGAUAACUACUCGAAAGAGUAGCUAAUACCGCAUACGAUCUAUGGAUGAAAGCGGGGGACCGUAAGGCCUCGCGCGAUUGGAGCGGCCGAUGUCAGAUUAGGUAGUUGGUGGGGUAAAGGCUCACCAAGCCAACGAUCUGUAGCUGGUCUGGGAGGACGACCAGCCACACUGGGACUGAGACACGGCCCAGACUCCUACGGGAGGCAGCAGUGGGGAAUUUUGGACAAUGGGCGCAAGCCUGAUCCAGCAAUGCCGCGUGCAGGAAGAAGGCCUUCGGGUUGUAAACUGCUUUUGUACGGAACGAAACGGCUCUGGUUAAUACCCGGGGCUAAUGACGGUACCGUAAGAAUAAGCACCGGCUAACUACGUG